Molecule: long non-coding RNA, 211 nt
Filed under: Elaeis guineensis (African oil palm)
Lineage: Eukaryota; Viridiplantae; Streptophyta; Magnoliopsida; Arecales; Arecaceae
Description: long non-coding RNA (EGUI_LNC046464)
Source: RNAcentral
UUGGAGAAGAGGAGAUGAUUCUAGGGCAAGCUCGAAUCGCCCCAAAUGAGGAAGGGAGAGGAGAGGAAGUUGGUUCCUUAACGGGUGAUUUGAGGAGUGAAAAUCGGUGGGAGGAGAUAUUUGAGAGAAAUCUUUGGUUUGAGGGAGAAGAGAUGGAGAGCUUUUGGUUUGGUGGGAGGAAGAAGACGAAGGGCUGAGUCGGCUCAAGAAA